GAUGAACGCUAGCUACAGGCUUAACACAUGCAAGUCGAGGGGAAACGACAUCGAAAGCUUGCUUUUGAUGGGCGUCGACCGGCGCACGGGUGAGUAACGCGUAUCAAACCUGCCCAUCACUUGGGAAUAACCUUGCGAAAGUAAGACUAAUACCCAAUGACAUCCCACGAAGACAUCUGAAUGGGAUUAAAGUUUUAUCGGUGAUGGAUGGGGAUGCGUCUGAUUAGCUUGUUGGCGGGGUAACGGCCCACCAAGGCAACGAUCAGUAGGGGUUCUGAGAGGAAGGUCCCCCACAUUGGAACUGAGACACAGUCCAAACUCCUACGGGAGGCAGCAGUGAGGUAUAUUAGUCGAUGAGCGAGAGCCUGAACCAGCCAAGUAGCGUGCAGGAUGACGGCCCUAUGAGUUGUAUACUGCUUUUAUAAGGGAAUAAAGUGGGUCUCUUGAGACUUUUUGCAUGUACCUUAUGAAUAAGGACCGGCUAAUUCCGUG
Molecule: ribosomal RNA, 492 nt
Filed under: uncultured bacterium
Lineage: Bacteria
Description: partial 16S ribosomal RNA
Rfam family: Bacterial small subunit ribosomal RNA
Source: RNAcentral